UUUCCAAUUGUCCGCCAAACAACUACGAGUCAUACUUAAAACUUAAAAGACUUGACGGUACUUCACCACAACCUAGAGGAGCCUGUCUAAUAACCGACAAUCCACGAUUAACCCCACCCUUUCUCGCCCAACAGUCUAUAUACCGCCGUCGCCAGCUUACCUUGUAAAAGAAAUAAAGUGAGCCAAAGAGUACUACACUAAAACGACAGGUCGAGGUGUAACCAAUGAAAGGGACCAAGAUGGGCUACAUUCUCCAGCCGAGAAUACGAAUAGCACUAUGAAACUAGUGCCUGAAGGCGGAUUUAGCAGUAAGAUAAGAAUAAAACACCUAACUGAACACAAC
RNAcentral lists this ribosomal RNA (343 nucleotides) under Protobothrops flavoviridis. Its description in RNAcentral is "partial 12S rRNA". The record is from RNAcentral. Lineage: Eukaryota; Metazoa; Chordata; Lepidosauria; Squamata; Viperidae.